Molecule: ribosomal RNA, 919 nt
Filed under: uncultured archaeon
Lineage: Archaea
Description: bacterial SSU rRNA
Rfam family: Archaeal small subunit ribosomal RNA
Source: RNAcentral
UUCCGGUUGAUCCUGCCGGAGGUCAUUGCUAUCGGGGUUCGAUUUAGCCAUGCUAGUCGUGCGAGUUCAGACUCGCGGCGUAUAGCUCAGUAACACGUGGCCAAACUACCCACCAGACAGGAAUAACCUCGGGAAACUGAGGCUAAUGCCUGAUACGCGUUGUCAGUUUGAAGACGACGACGAUCAAACGUUCCGACGCUGGUGGAUGUGGCUGCGGCCGAUUAGGUAGACGGUGGGGUAACGGCCCACCGUGCCGAUAAUCGGUACGGGUUGUGAGAGCAAGAGCCCGGAGACGGAAUCUGAAACAAGAUUCCGGGCCCUACGGGGCGCAGCAGGCGCGAAACCUUUACACUGCACGCCAGUGCGAUAAGGGAACCCCGAGUGAAAGGGCAUAUCGCCCUUUCUUUUCUGAACCGUAGGGAGGUUCAGGAACAAGAGCUGGGCAAGACCGGUGCCAGCCGCCGCGGUAAUACCGGCAGCUCAAGUGAUGACCGAUUUUAUUGGGCCUAAAGCGUCCGUAGCUGGCCAUGCAAGUCCGUCGGGAAAUCCACCCGCUUAACGGGUGGGCGUCCGGCGGAAACUGCACGGCUUGGGACAGGAAGGCUCGAGGGGUACGUUCGGGGUAGGAGUGAAAUCCUGUAAUCCUGAACGGACCACCGAUGGCGAAAGCACCUCGAGAGGACUGAUCCGACAGUGAGGGGCGAAAGCCGGGGUCUCGAACCGGAUUAGAUACCCGGGUAGUCCCAGCUGUAAACGAUGUUCGCUAGGUGUGUCACUCACUACGAGUGAGUGAUGUGCCGCAGGGAAGCCGCUAAGCGAACCGCCUGGGAAGUACGUCUGCAAGGAUGAAACUUAAAGGGAUUGGCGGGGGAGCACUACAACCGGAGGAGCCUGCGGUUUAAUUGGAUUCAACGCCGGG